RNAcentral lists this transfer RNA (72 nucleotides) under Bos taurus (domestic cattle). It matches the Rfam family "tRNA". Rfam says of the family: Transfer RNA (tRNA) molecules are approximately 80 nucleotides in length. Their secondary structure includes four short double-helical elements and three loops (D, anti-codon, and T loops). Further hydrogen bonds mediate the characteristic L-shaped molecular structure. tRNAs have two regions of fundamental functional importance: the anti-codon, which is responsible for specific mRNA codon recognition, and the 3' end, to which the tRNAs corresponding amino acid is attached (by aminoacyl-tRNA synthetases). tRNAs cope with the degeneracy of the genetic code in two manners: having more than one tRNA (with a specific anti-codon) for a particular amino acid; and 'wobble' base-pairing, i.e. permitting non-standard base-pairing at the 3rd anti-codon position. The record is from Rfam by way of RNAcentral. RNAcentral also lists the same sequence under 9 other names. Lineage: Eukaryota; Metazoa; Chordata; Mammalia; Artiodactyla; Bovidae.
UCCCUUGUGGCUCAGCUGGUAAAGAAUCCACCUGCAAUGUGGGAGACCUGGGUUUGAUCCCUGGUUUGGGAA